RNAcentral lists this ribosomal RNA (326 nucleotides) under uncultured eukaryote. Its description in RNAcentral is "partial 18S ribosomal RNA". It matches the Rfam family "Eukaryotic small subunit ribosomal RNA", at positions 1470 to 1796 of the family's 1831-position model. The record is from RNAcentral.
CCCUUAGAUGUUCUGGGCCGCACGCGCGCUACACUGACGGAGGCAGCGAGCAUGUCCUUCGCCGAGAGGUGUGGGGAAUCUUGUGAGUCUCCGUCGUGCUGGGGAUAGAUGGUUGCAAUUGUCGAUCUUGAACGAGGAAUUCCUAGUAAGCGCGAGUCAUCAGCUCGCGCUGAUUACGUCCCUGCCCUUUGUACACACCGCCCGUCGCUCCUACCGAUUGGGUGUGCUGGUGAAAUGUUCGGAUCGGCCGUUUGUCGCGGUUUCCGCGGCUCGUGGCUGAGAAGUUCAUUAAACCCUCCCACCUAGAGGAAGGAGAAGUCGUAACA